RNAcentral lists this signal recognition particle RNA (266 nucleotides) under Gemmatimonadota bacterium. RNAcentral describes it as "signal recognition particle sRNA large type". It matches the Rfam family "Bacterial large signal recognition particle RNA". From Rfam's summary of the family: The signal recognition particle (SRP) is a universally conserved ribonucleoprotein involved in the co-translational targeting of proteins to membranes. Archaeal SRP consists of a 7S RNA and homologues of the eukaryotic SRP19 and SRP54 proteins. In most bacteria, the SRP consists of a 4.5S RNA and the Ffh protein (a homologue of the eukaryotic SRP54 protein). The record is from RNAcentral. Lineage: Bacteria; Pseudomonadati; Gemmatimonadota.
UCGUGCUAGAUGGGGAGCUAGCGGUGCCCUGAACCCGCAACCCGCUCCAGCGGGGUUGAAUUCCCCUUCGAGGCCCGAUGUUUUGGGACUGGCAUCCAGGCGCGGUGUCGAUGGUGAGGUCCCGCGCGGCGUGGAGCUGUGAAGCAGGUCAGGACCGGAAGGUAGCAGCCUUAAGCAGAUAUCCGCGGGUGACGUGGGGUUGCCGAACCGGAGCGAGCGAGGGAAGCGCUAAGCCGGGGCGUUGUUGGUCGACAAGGGGUGCACGA